UACGUAGGGGGCAAGCGUUGUCCGGAUUUAUUGGGCGUAAAGAGCGUGUAGGCGGUCAGGUAGGUCCGUUGUGAAAACUCGAGGCUCAACCUCGAGACGCCGAUGGAAACCAUCUGACUAGAGUCCGGAAGAGGAGAGUGGAAUUCCUGGUGUAGCGGUGAAAUGCGCAGAUAUCAGGAGGAACACCGGUGGCGAAGGCGGGUCUCUGGGCCGAAACUGACGCUGAGGAGCGAAAGCGUGGGGAGCGAACGGG
RNAcentral lists this ribosomal RNA (253 nucleotides) under uncultured bacterium. RNAcentral's name for it is "partial 16S ribosomal RNA". It matches the Rfam family "Bacterial small subunit ribosomal RNA", at positions 524 to 776 of the family's 1533-position model. The record is from RNAcentral.